RNAcentral lists this ribosomal RNA (427 nucleotides) under uncultured bacterium. RNAcentral describes it as "bacterial SSU rRNA". It matches the Rfam family "Bacterial small subunit ribosomal RNA", at positions 355 to 774 of the family's 1533-position model. The record is from RNAcentral.
UAGGGAAUAUUGGACAAUGGGGGCAACCCUGAUCCAGCCAUGCCGCGUGAGUGAAGAAGGCCCUCGGGUUGUAAAGCUCUUUUGUCCGGAAAGAAAAGCUUCGGGUUAAUACCCCGGGGUUCUGACGGUACCGGAAGAAUAAGCACCGGCUAACUUCGUGCCAGCAGCCGCGGUAAUACGAAGGGUGCAAGCGUUACUCGGAAUUACUGGGCGUAAAGCGUGCGUAGGUGGUUGUUUAAGUCUGAUGUGAAAGCCCUGGGCUCAACCUGGGAAUGGCAUUGGAAACUGGGCAGCUAGAGUGCGGUAGAGGGUAGUGGAAUUCCCGGUGUAGCAGUGAAAUGCGUAGAGAUCGGGAGGAACAUCUGUGUCGAAGGCGACUGCCUGGACCAGCACUGACACUGAGGCACGAAAGCGUGGGGAGCAAACA